RNAcentral lists this ribosomal RNA (499 nucleotides) under Vinathela cucphuongensis. RNAcentral's name for it is "partial 16S ribosomal RNA". It matches the Rfam family "Bacterial large subunit ribosomal RNA", at positions 1795 to 2621 of the family's 2925-position model. Lineage: Eukaryota; Metazoa; Arthropoda; Arachnida; Araneae; Liphistiidae. The record is from RNAcentral.
GGCGCCUGUUUAUCAAAAACAUGGUUUUUUGAGAUAAUAAAAAAUCUAACCUGCUCAAUGCUAAUGUAAAUAGCCGCAGUAUUAUGACUGUGCUAAGGUAGCAUAAUCAUUUGUCUUUUAAAUGAGGUCUAGAAUGAAAGGUUAGACGGAAAAGGAACUGUCUCUUUAUUAAAAAAUGAAUUUAAUUAUUUAGUAAAAAGGCUAAUAUAUAGUUGAUGGACGAUAAGACCCUAUUAAACUUAAUUAUUGGAAUUUUGCUGGGGCGGUAAGAUAAGAGUAGGAUCUUAUUGAAAAUUGUUAAAUAAUUAUUGACCCAAUUAUUAUUGAGGUAAAGAUAAAGUUACUAUAGGGAUAACAGCUUAAUUUUUCCUUGAAGUUCUUAUUUUAGGAAAAGUUUGAGACCUCGAUGUUGAAUUAAAGUAUCUUUUUAGUGCAAAGGCUAAAUGAAGAAAGUCUGUUCGACUUUUAAAUCUUUACGUGAUCUGAGUUCAGACCGGCC